This 372-nucleotide ribosomal RNA is filed under the name uncultured organism. RNAcentral's name for it is "bacterial SSU rRNA". It matches the Rfam family "Bacterial small subunit ribosomal RNA", at positions 526 to 896 of the family's 1533-position model. The record is from RNAcentral.
CGUAGGGUGCGAGCGUUAAUCGGAAUUACUGGGCGUAAAGCGUGCGCAGGCGGUUUAGUAAGACAGGCGUGAAAUCCCCGGGCUCAACCUGGGAACUGCGCUUGUGACUGCUAAGCUAGAGUACGGCAGAGGGGGGUGGAAUUCCACGUGUAGCAGUGAAAUGCGUAGAGAUGUGGAGGAACACCAAUGGCGAAGGCAGCCCCCUGGGUCGAUACUGACGCUCAUGCACGAAAGCGUGGGUAGCAAACAGGAUUAGAUACCCUGGUAGUCCACGCCCUAAACGAUGUCAACUAGGUGUUGGGAGGGUAAAACCUUUUAGUACCGGAGCUAACGCGUGGAGUUGACCGCCUGGGGAGUACGGCCGCAAGGUUA